CAUCUCGCGGACCACUUGUGAUUAUACGCUGACGUCGUACAUCGGAAAGGCGGUUUUUGUGUGAAGAAAUUUCGACGGGAACUUUAUACCGCAAUGCGACUUUAUACGGGGCCAGGCUAUUUGACAGAUGGUUUCAUUUGUUGAUUUCUGUACCCUGUUUUUGUGUACGUAGUUUUGGUCUAAUUUAAUUUGAUGAGCCAUAAUAUUUAGAACUGAGUAUUUCGCCGAGGGUGACACUUUUGUUGUACAAAGGUAACGACAUGAUAAUCCUGGCAUGACGACUUAUCAUUAAACGACAGCGACAACACUAAUUCAUCUAACAUUAACAAUUCUCAAAGACAAUUUAUUAAAAUAUUGUGAUAUGCAAUGAGCGCCAAUCUCCAAUUCAAAUUUUUCUUAAAUCCUAUUUACGGCGUGCCCAUUUCAUACUGAAGACAUGAUGCGUUAGUAUUGAUCAAAUUAAUUUGUCAGUAAAAGUUUCAAAAGUUUCGAGUUUAUUGGGGAAUGCAUCAGUUUCUAAAUAAA
This is a long non-coding RNA of Aethina tumida (small hive beetle), 525 nucleotides long. RefSeq lists it as uncharacterized. The record is from RefSeq and is a predicted model, not a curated record. NCBI's taxonomy places the organism in Eukaryota, Metazoa, Arthropoda, Insecta, Coleoptera, Nitidulidae. The transcript has 2 exons.